GAUCCUGGCUCAGGAUGAACGCUAGCGGCAGGCUUAACACAUGCAAGUCGAGGGGCAGCAUGAUGAAACUUUCGGGUUUCAUUGAUGGCGACCGGCGCACGGGUGCGUAACGCGUAUGUAACCUACCUUUAACAGGGGGAUAACACUGAGAAAUUGGUACUAAUACCCCAUAACACCUUAAGAGGCAUCUUUUGAGGUUGAAAGUUCCGGCGGUUAGAGAUGGACAUGCGUUGUAUUAGCUAGAUGGUGAGGUAACGGCUCACCAUGGCGACGAUACAUAGGGGGACUGAGAGGUUAACCCCCCACACUGGUACUGAGACACGGACCAGACUCCUACGGGAGGCAGCAGUGAGGAAUAUUGGUCAAUGGACGCAAGUCUGAACCAGCCAUGCCGCGUGCAGGAAGACGGCUCUAUGAGUUGUAAACUGCUUUUGUACAAGGGUAAACCUCGGUACGUGUACCGAGCUGAAAGUACUGUACGAAUAAGGAUCGGCUAACUCCGUG
This 504-nucleotide ribosomal RNA is filed under the name uncultured bacterium. Its description in RNAcentral is "bacterial SSU rRNA". It matches the Rfam family "Bacterial small subunit ribosomal RNA", at positions 15 to 507 of the family's 1533-position model. The record is from RNAcentral.